Lactuca sativa (garden lettuce) is the source of this 413-nucleotide non-coding RNA. The record is from RefSeq and is a predicted model, not a curated record. Lineage: Eukaryota; Viridiplantae; Streptophyta; Magnoliopsida; Asterales; Asteraceae.
AAAUGAGAUGAAAAAAGGAUUUGAAAAUUACCAGAAGGAGACGGCAGAGAAAAGUCCGGCGGUUGCAACUGUCUGGAUGAGAGUGAAGCUCUUCACCAUUUUCCGCUCUCAAAGCUUCUGUAACCGUCGUAGGAGUGUGUGUCACGUUGUGGUGAAGACAUCUCACGACUUUCUAGAAAUCAGAUAUUCACCGACUCAGACUUUCUAGAAAUCAUAUAUUAUGUACUCUUUGCUUGUUUCCUUGAACAAAAUUUCCACUUUUGGAUUAUGUUCGGUCUUAGCGUGAAAAUUCAUGAGCAAAUGUGGACAAUAAAGUUUGUGAUAUGCAUUUUGGAACACAUGUAUAAUUUCAUGUCAAUGGAAUUGACAUUAUCGGAUAUUAUGGCUAAAUUAUCAAUACCCUUAUUACAUUC